UAUAAUGAUGAAUAACCUAUAACAACUAAUGAAUUUCUUCGACUGAAAUACCUCCAUGUUAGAAAAUUUACUUUGACUAAUAGCUUUUUAACUCUGAUU
Molecule: small nucleolar RNA, 99 nt
Organism: Saccharomycodes ludwigii
Lineage: Eukaryota; Fungi; Ascomycota; Saccharomycetes; Saccharomycodales; Saccharomycodaceae
Source: RefSeq, a predicted model, not a curated record